AUAAAUAUAGUUUAAAAAACAUUAUAUUUUCAUUAUAAAAUUAAUAUAUAAUUAUAUUUAUUUAUA
Molecule: transfer RNA, 66 nt
Filed under: Cardiocondyla obscurior
Lineage: Eukaryota; Metazoa; Arthropoda; Insecta; Hymenoptera; Formicidae
Description: tRNA-Glu
Source: RNAcentral